AAAUACAUAUUUAUGUUUUCUUAUGCACGGGUAAAUUGCUCUGUUCAUAUAUAAAAAAAUAACUGUAGUAUUAUUGCUUAUAUUGAUUUUAAAUGAUGACCUUAUUAGAUGUGCCAUCGAGACCACAUAUAUUAGCAUUUUGUGACUAGAAAUACAAUGCAUGAAUAUAUAUAGAUAACCUUUACAUCGUGCUACAUGCUUUCGGGAAAUAAGGAACCAUUACAACAUAUAUAUUUUUAUGAUGUACAAUUUCGUCAUCGGAUAUACCAUGUGCAUAUGUGCAGUAACCCAUUAUGCUUUUGUUUGUGUAUACAACAAGUUACGCAUCAACAUACAUGGACAAAAUCAAACAAGAUAAUAAACCGUUUUGUCAUAAAUUAUUCUUCAGAAUAAAAAAUGUUUAAGAACUGUAUAAGCACACCUACAAUUAGCAACCUCUGAAGAUUUGUAUGAACUAAUAUUUAUGUGUAACCAUGACAACAUCACACGUUAGACCCUUGAAAGAAGCCAUAUCAUGUUUCCAAAUAUUAGGCUAAAUGUCUGAAUAAAAGAAGAAAAAACACUAGGUGCAGUUUUUGCUAAGAUAGUGCCGACGAGGAAACAACAGACACAUUGUAAGUGAUUCUUGCAGUACCAAUAUUCCCAUGAACUUAUUACUAAAGAAGAUGUCUUUGUGAUGGUACAUUUGUCCAUAUUUCUUAAUCAUAUAUAUGGCACACUAUACAUUUUCCCUCCCGGUGUUUUGGAAUCCUUAUUUGUGGUACUAAUAAGUAGCAUUCUAAUCUGCGUAUGGUUGUUUUGUUACAAAGUCAUAUUCUGUCACUAUAAUUUAUUAGAGAGAAAAAUGUUUGGUUGCACAAUUACAAGCUUGCUUUGUUUGAUUCUAUUCUACCUGCAGCGCAGCCACAUGGGCCCAGCAAUAGCAGCGUCACAUGGUGGUGGCCAUCGUCACGUCGAGCUAGAGAUGUCAAUGGGUAAUUCCCCAUCGGGUUAUAGCAUCCCAGACCCAUCCCCAUCAUGUUUGAUACAUCCCCAUACCCAUACCCAUACCCAUCAUGGGUACAAAACUCAUCCCAUACCCAUCUCCAUUCGGGUUUCGGGUCCCCAAUGGGUCCCCAUCCCCAAUUAAGGAAUAACUAGGUACUAACAUCUAGCACAAACUAUCCAGAUUUCAUACAUCACCACAUCGGCAAGCACUCAUCCACGAACUAUUGUCCAUUCAUCCAUUCAUCAGAAGAGAAAUCAGUACUUGGGACCAAUAUAAGAAAUGGAGUCUGCCGGGUUUGAUGGCCGACUCGGCCUCAACUCAUUCAUACAAACAGGACAUGUGUACGCAUAUGAAAUAACCAUGGGUAAUCGGGUUCGGAUUAUUGCUUCCCAAACCCAUACCCGUUUACCCAAUGGGUGGAGAUUUUGUCCCAUAUCCAUACCCAUGGGGACAAUUUUUGUCCCAUACCCGUACCCUAAUAGGGGAAUUCCCCAUGGGUUAUCGGGUAUCGGGUCCCCAUUGACAUCUCUACGUCGAGCUCUCCCUCUCCACCAACUAACAGUUCCUGACAGUGGAGCAGAAAUUCAUUAAGAGCAUAUAGGGAUUCACAAGUGGUACAUGUAUUCUGCCUAUCUUUAUUUCUUAGUAUUAUAUAAACUACAUACUGUAUUUGGAGAUGCAUUGUUUAUUCUCUGCAAUCGGUUAACCCUGGACUGCUUGCAACUAUCCCCAGUUACGAAAUAGUGCUUCUUUUCUGUCAUAACUUUUCAGGCGUCCAUAGUAAAUGAAAUUGGUGCAUAUAUUUGAGUUGACUAACAAUGCGAUAACUAACAUGUGAUUUGUCGAUUUUCCUUUUUACUGCUAGAUUUUGAGCCCAACAAUCUCGCUGCCACCGAUACUCCUGGUUCGUAUAUUUGGUUACUCAAAACAUGAGAUGAUCCUCUGAAGUAGAAAGGGAAACACUGAAUACGCUCUUGCUGAAAUAUUCUAUAGAAAGACACAAUUCCAUUUUGGCAGAUGCAAGUGAAAGAUCUACAGGGAAGGUAUCUUUUGUUCUUAUAUUUUGGUUGCUUAACAAAUACCUUACGUAGAAACUAUAAUCUUCUCUCUAAUCAUAUCUUAGUGGAAAGUUUAUUCUUCCAUUGAACAUCCCACUGAGUGUAAUACAUAUGCAGAAAUUGGGGUAGCAUAUAACCGCCGCAAGGGAAAAUAUGGUGUAGCAGAUGAGGAUAUAAUCUUAUAUGGUCAAUGUGUUUGAAUUGGUCCAACCAUUGAUAUUGCUUCACGGUUGCUAGACUUGAGAGUCGCGGUUUUGCAUAGUCCUAUAUUUUAUCUGCACUAAGAGUAAUAUAUACAGCCAAGCAGACGUUUGGUUUAACAUUUACAAGGUAUGUUUGGUACUUUUGUUUUUUUGGAAUUAAUGGUUGUCCGAUGCUUGUCAUUCAUAUGAGUUCUAAUAUCAUGCCCCCUUAAAGUACUCAUCAUCAAAAGUUUCCAUGUGAAUGUUUUAAAUGUAUAUUUAAAGGGUUGGAAGACAUCAGACUGUUAUUCAAACAGGAUCUUAAGUGUCGUGAAAGACUACAAGUGAGGUUCAACUUGGCAAAUUAUUUUUCCAGUAACUAAGGAGCAACAAUUUUAUGUAUUUUAGCUUGACAUAUGAAUCUAGGUACUUACAUUUUUGGAAUCGGGCAAACAGUGAUAGUUUGAAUCACAUGUUUUGCCAAAAGGAAUUAUUAGAACUGUUCAAAGUUGGAAAAAAUACAUAUUUAUGUUUUCUUAUGCAUGGAUAAAUUGCUCUGUUCAUAUAUAAAAAAAUAACUGUAGUAUUAUUGCUUAUAUUGAUUUUAAAUGAUGACCUUAUUAGAUGUGCCAUCGAGACCACAUAUAUUAGCAUUUUGUAACUAAAAAUACAAUGCAUGAAUAUAUAUAGAUAACCUUUACAUCGUGCUACAUGCUUUCGGGAAAUAAGGAACCAUUACAACAUAUAUAUUUUUGAUGAUGUACA
Molecule: long non-coding RNA, 2993 nt
Filed under: Zea mays
Lineage: Eukaryota; Viridiplantae; Streptophyta; Magnoliopsida; Poales; Poaceae
Description: long non-coding RNA (ZMAY_LNC002088)
Source: RNAcentral